Ahaetulla prasina is the source of this 1027-nucleotide long non-coding RNA. RefSeq lists it as uncharacterized. The transcript is spliced from 3 exons. NCBI's taxonomy places the organism in Eukaryota, Metazoa, Chordata, Lepidosauria, Squamata, Colubridae. The record is from RefSeq and is a predicted model, not a curated record.
CUCAUGUAACAUUUCAGCUGAGAGCUUCUACAAUCAAUCUGGCCACCCUAGUCUGGAAGGAAGCAGCCAUCAAGUAAUUAAUACUUGCAAAAGGAGCGAUUGGAGCAGGAAGCAGCCAGGCAGAAUCCCAAAUGCAGCCCAGCAACUGAAUCUAACACAGAGCAUCUUUACACGACCUGGACACAGUCUGAAAAAGUUGUAAAUGAUUCUGUUUUUCGUUCCCGAGCCCGGCCGAUAAUAGAGAAACGUGACAGGUUAAUUUUUCCUGAAAAGUGAUGAAAACACAGCCCCUGCGCUGGGGCUGUGUUAAUUGUGCUGCAAAGGCAUUUGCCACUCGGGUUCCUUUUGUCAUUGUUGUUGUUGUUGUUGCUGUUGUUUUUUUCUUCCAGGGCUGCCGAUCGCAGCAUUUUCAGCCAAGUCCAGUUGAUCUUGUGGGAAAUUAAGCUGCGGUGCUUUGGUGAACAGGUUGACCCUCUCUUCUCUGUGACAGCCCUCAAAUAUUGGAAGACGGCUCUUAUAUCACUCCUAGCUUUCGUUAGACUAAAAAGUCUGCCAUCAGCCCGUGGAGGUAGCAGUGGAGUUGGACAGUGAGGAGGCUGGGGAGGACCAUGGGUCAGUCAUGGAUUCUGGGGAAGGCCCAGACGAGGGCUCUGCAUCAGAGGCAGAGAUGAGGCCAGGGCCAUCUGGGAGCGAUGUGCGGACUCCGGAGCCUCCAGAGGCAGACAGCAGAGAGGCAGAGGAACAGGAGGAGCCUGUUCCUAGUGCACGCAUGUGAAGAGCUGCCAGAAGGCAAAGCAGCUAAAGCAAAAAGGACGACUCAGGAGUAAGGCCAGGAGAUGAUUGGCCACUCCCAUAAGGCUUAAAAGAACAGCAACAGCUCUUGGGCUCUUUGUAAGAAAGCAACAUUGCCACAUUUGUUUCUAGCUGGCGUCUCUUGUUUCUGAACUUCAUGGGGCUUUGCCAAGAAAACCCUUUGGCAGGGUGCCAAAGAGGACAAAGGUUUGUGAUAAGGCCGAAGGACUUUUUC